UGAGGAAUAUUGGACAAUGGGCGAAAGCCUGAUCCAGCCAUGCCGCGUGUGUGAAGAAGGUCUUCGGAUUGUACAGCACUUUAAGUUGGGAGGAAGGGCAGUAAGCGAAUACCUUGCUGUUUUGACGUUACCGACAGAAUAAGCACUGGCUAACUCUGUGCCAGCAGCCGCGGUAAUACAGAGGGUGCAAGCGUUAAUCGGAAUUACUGGGCGUAAAGCGCGCGUAGGUGGUUCGUUAAGUUGAAUGUGAAAGCCCCGGGCUCAACCUGGGAACUGCAUCCAAAACUGGCGAGCUAGAGUAGGGCAGAGGGUGGUGGAAUUUCCUGUGUAGCGGUGAAAUGCGUGGAUAUAGGAAGGAACACCAGUGGCGAAGGCGACCACCUGGGCUCAUACUGACACUGAGGUGCGAAAGCGUGGGGGGCAAACAGG
RNAcentral lists this ribosomal RNA (429 nucleotides) under Pseudomonadota bacterium. Its description in RNAcentral is "Proteobacteria bacterium partial 16S ribosomal RNA". It matches the Rfam family "Bacterial small subunit ribosomal RNA", at positions 355 to 776 of the family's 1533-position model. Lineage: Bacteria; Pseudomonadati; Pseudomonadota. The record is from RNAcentral.